GAUAUCGUAAGCAACGUCAUCCCCUGUUUUUUUUACUUCCAUUUAAAAUUUCUAGUAAUAUAGAAUGAUCAAGAAAAUGACAACUAGACUAAGUUUGGUCCAAAGAAACUGAGCCUUGGUUAAAUUCUUCCAAUGGUUUUAAAUUUAUUUGUAUAUAAACUUACGAUUUGGUAGAUGAUGGAAGCAA
This 187-nucleotide non-coding RNA is filed under the name Arabidopsis thaliana (thale cress). Lineage: Eukaryota; Viridiplantae; Streptophyta; Magnoliopsida; Brassicales; Brassicaceae. The record is from RNAcentral.